This 497-nucleotide ribosomal RNA is filed under the name uncultured bacterium. Its description in RNAcentral is "partial 16S ribosomal RNA". It matches the Rfam family "Bacterial small subunit ribosomal RNA", at positions 28 to 507 of the family's 1533-position model. The record is from RNAcentral.
GAUGAACGCUGGCGGCGUGCCUAAUACAUGCAAGUCGAGCGAACAGACGAGGAGCUUGCUCCUCUGACGUUAGCGGCGGACGGGUGAGUAACACGUGGAUAACCUACCUAUAAGACUGGGAUAACUUCGGGAAACCGGAGCUAAUACCGGAUAAUAUAUUGAACCGCAUGGUUCAAUAGUGAAAGACGGUUUUGCUGUCACUUAUAGCUGGAUCCGCGCCGCAUUAGCUAGUUGGUAAGGUAACGGCUUUCCAAGGCAACGAUGCGUAGCCGACCUGAGAGGGUGAUCAGCCACACUGGAACUGAGACACGGUCCAGACUCCUACGGGAGGCAGCAGUAGGGAAUCUUCCGCAAUGGGCGAAAGCCUGACGGAGCAACGCCGCGUGAGUGAUGAAGGUCUUCGGAUCGUAAAACUCUGUUAUUAGGGAAGAACAAAUGUGUAAGUAACUAUGCACGUCUUGACGGUACCUAAUCAGAAAGCCACGGCUAACUACGUG